AUCAACUUUCGAUGGUAGGAUAGAGGCCUACCAUGGUGGUAACGGGUAACGGGGUGUUAGGGCACGACACCGGAGAGGGAGCCUGAGAAACGGCUACCACAUCCAAGGAUGGCAGCAGGCGCGCAAAUUACCCAAUCCCGACACGGGGAGGUAGUGACAAUAAAUAACAAUACGGGGUUCUUUCGGAUUUCGUAAUUGGAAUGAGUACAAUUUAAAUCUCUUAACGAGGAACAAUUGGAGGGCAAGUCUGGUGCCAGCAGCCGCGGUAAUUCCAGCUCCAAUAGCGUAUAUUAAAGUUGCUGCAGUUAAAAAGCUCGUAGUUGAAUUUCGGGAUCAUCAUGUCGGUCGUGCCUCGGUACGUACUGGCAUGUUGGUUUCUCCCUUCUGACGAACCAUGAUGUCAUUUAUUUGGUGUUGUGGGGAAUCAGGACUGUUACUUUGAAAAAAUUAGAGUGUUUAAAGCAGGCUCACGCUUGAAUACAUUAGCAUGGAAUAAUGAAAUAGGACGUUUGAUUCUAUUUUGUUGGUUUCUAGGAUCGACGUAAUGAUUAAUAGGGAUAGUUGGGGGCAUUAGUAUUCAAUUGUCAGAGGUGAAAUUCUUGGAUUUAUUGAAGACUAACUACUGCGAAAGCAUUUGCCAAGGAUGUUUUCAUUAAUCAAGAACGAAAGUUAGGGGAUCGAAGACGAUCAGAUACCGUCGUAGUCUUAACCAUAAACUAUGCCGACUAGGGAUCGGAUGAUGUUAAUUUUUUAAUGACUCAUUCGGCGCCUUACGGGAAACCAAAGUGUUUGGGUUC
RNAcentral lists this ribosomal RNA (797 nucleotides) under uncultured Glomeromycotina. RNAcentral describes it as "SSU rRNA". It matches the Rfam family "Eukaryotic small subunit ribosomal RNA", at positions 314 to 1114 of the family's 1831-position model. Lineage: Eukaryota; Fungi; Glomeromycota. The record is from RNAcentral.